This 239-nucleotide non-coding RNA is filed under the name Burkholderiales bacterium. Lineage: Bacteria; Pseudomonadati; Pseudomonadota; Betaproteobacteria; Burkholderiales. The record is from RNAcentral.
UACACUCCUUGGGCCUUCGGUUCCGCUCGAUCGGAAAGCAGCCGGUCGACGGUGAAACGGGAAACAGUGGCGCGCCCUGCGCGCACAAACUGUGCUGCCCCCGCAACGGUAAGAGAGCGUCGCCGGCGAUUUGCGCCAGCAUCGUCCUGAUCAAUUGCCACUGUGAUGCCGCCCGGCAUCGCGGGAAGGCGAUCGGGAUGCUCUCAGCCCGGAGACCGGCCGAAGGGGGCUCGCCGGCG